CAGUCGCCGCGGGAAUACGAAGGGGGCUAGCGUUGUUCGGAAUUACUGGGCGUAAAGCGCACGUAGGCGGAUAUUUAAGUCAGGGGUGAAAUCCCGCAGCUCAACUGCGGAACUGCCUUUGAUACUGGGUAUCUUGAGUAUGGAAGAGGUUAGUGGAAUUGCGAGUGUAGAGGUGAAAUUCGUAGAUAUUCGUAGGAACACCAGUGGCGAAGGCGGCUAACUGGUCCAUAACUGACGCUGAGGUGCGAAAGCGUGGGGAGCAAACAGGAUUAGAUACCCCGGUAGUCCCUGUCUCUUAUAA
RNAcentral lists this ribosomal RNA (301 nucleotides) under uncultured bacterium. RNAcentral's name for it is "partial 16S ribosomal RNA". It matches the Rfam family "Bacterial small subunit ribosomal RNA", at positions 509 to 809 of the family's 1533-position model. The record is from RNAcentral.